This 384-nucleotide ribosomal RNA is filed under the name uncultured microorganism. RNAcentral's name for it is "bacterial SSU rRNA". It matches the Rfam family "Archaeal small subunit ribosomal RNA", at positions 330 to 720 of the family's 1478-position model. The record is from RNAcentral.
GUGCAGCAGGCGCAAAACUUUACAAUGUGCGAAAGCACGAUAAGGGAACUCUGAGUGCCUCCUAAGGAGGCUGUUCUGAUGUCUAAAAAGCAACAGAAGUAAGGGCUGGGUAAGACCGGUGCCAGCCGCCGCGGUAACACCGGCAGCCCAAGUGGUAGCCACGUUUAUUGGGUCUAAAGCGUUCGUAGCCGGCCAGGUAAGUUCCUUGGUAAAUUUAGCCGCUUAACGGUUAAGCUUUCAGGGAAUACUGCUUGGCUUGGGACUGGGAGAGGUCAGAGGUACUCCGGGGGUAGGGGUGAAAUCUAUUAAUCCCUGGGGGACCACCGGUAGCGAAGGCGUCUGACCAGACCAGGUCCGACGGUGAGGGACGAAGGCUAGGGGCGC